GGAAACUUAAUACCCAAUCAUUACUAAAAAUAUUAACCCAGACGAAGGCAUUACUAUAUAGCCCGGGAACUAUACUUGUUAUGGGAUAUAUGGUGGGAUAGGGCGGUUACAAACUAUCUCUCAGUUGACCUUCCAGAAUAGAAUAAGCUUGGAAAUGAUUUUAGCAGAAAAAGGGAGAGUAUGUAAAAUACUCCCAGACACCAUGACAUGCUGUACCUAUAUUCCAGAUAAUACAGGCCCUAAUGGUAAGGUAACGUUGGCAAUAGAAAAGUUAAAGAGUUUGUCCAAUGAACUGAAACGAAAUUCUGGGGCCACAGAUCCAUGGGAAAGAUGGUUUGGAUGGAUGUCUGGAUGGCAAGGUGCUUUGGCCCAAAUAGGUGUUGCCAUUUUAAUAACGAUAAUCAUCCUCGCUCUUCUUGUUUGUUGUGUGUUACCCUGUCUUAAGAAAUGCCUACAAAGGACAGUUGAUCAGACAAUCGACCAGACCACCCCGACCUUCCUUCACCAAGAGAUUGACGACAUCGACCUUGAUACACCACAUACACCCUUACAGUCCCACCGCACUAAAUCAACAGCUACUUCCUCUUAAAGACAUUUAGGGAUAGCGUCUGUCUCUACGGGCAGAAGUCUGCCGCGGGAGAAGUAGUGGACAAGCUGCUAUGGGGUACCCGCGCAGUGAAGUGUUCGAGGCCUGUUCAGACAGAUGUGCAAGAUAGCCUUUUGUUAUUUUUCUAUAGGGACAGUAUUAGAAUGAGAGAUAGUAGUUUUAGUAAAAUUGCCAUUUUAAGGGGGGACUGUUAUGGACAGAUGAAUUAAAAUAAAAUGGCUAUUUACUAAUGUCUAUUUAUUCUGUGUUCACUAUGUUAAAACUGGCUGCUAGAGUAAAUAUUCCCUUCGCCCCCUACAAUGUGUUCAGUUGCUGUUUACUAUGUAAAUUCUUCAUCCUGAUAAGCAUCCCCCUUCAAAACAAGCAAACCUUGUGUAAACAAAAUUCCUGUGUUAACAGCUCCCUUUACUAACUCCUCCCCCACUACCUUUGUGCCAGUUAAACAGCUAUAUGCCACGUAUAGCUAAAUGGAGGAUCAUUGGUUUAGAACUGAUAGAUACCACUCACUCCCCCUCCCAUCGUGUAUCCAAAAGUGUGUAAUGAUGACACUACAUUCUGUAGGGGGGUUUAAACAAGAGCCCCCUUUCUCUGUUAACCAAUUGGUGAAUGUAUACUGUAUGUUUAAACUGUGACGUAUUUUUGCUUUAAGAAGGAGCCCCCACUCCGGGGAAUAAAGCAUUCCUGGGUUUUUCACUGAUCAGAAACUUUGUCUCCGGUGUGAAUUACUUCUAGGGAAAGCGUGCACGCAUUAAUUAAUCAAUUUGGAAGGUGUAGAUAGACAAAUAAUCAAAGUUUUCUUUGAUCCAAAACAAUACUU
Non-coding RNA from Pelobates cultripes (western spadefoot toad), 1424 nucleotides. Lineage: Eukaryota; Metazoa; Chordata; Amphibia; Anura; Pelobatidae. The record is from the annotation of a GenBank genome assembly.